AUUGAGGACAGGGCCUUAUUUACCAGUCAUCCACACAUGAAAAUUGCGGAGAUGGCCAUUAGUCUGCAUGGAAACACUACAAAUUGGAGCAUAUUAUGUGAAAGGAGAGCAAGUUGGAAUGUCGGUAUUUCGGCUCUUCCACUCCUCCAUAAGAGGGUGAGCGUUUUUGAUGGUUUUGUGAGAGGGAAAUUUAUCACUCAGAGCUUAUACGGAAACAAAGCAUCUUGUUUCAGGGAAAGAUGAUG
This is a long non-coding RNA of Morus notabilis, 245 nucleotides long. RefSeq lists it as uncharacterized. Lineage: Eukaryota; Viridiplantae; Streptophyta; Magnoliopsida; Rosales; Moraceae. The transcript is spliced from 3 exons. The record is from RefSeq and is a predicted model, not a curated record.